GCCUGGCUGGCUCAGUUGGUAGAGCAUGUAACUCUUGAUCUCAGGGUUGUGAGUUUGAGCCCCACACCGGGUG
Molecule: transfer RNA, 73 nt
Filed under: Canis lupus familiaris (dog)
Lineage: Eukaryota; Metazoa; Chordata; Mammalia; Carnivora; Canidae
Also listed under: 2 other names
Rfam family: tRNA
About the family: Transfer RNA (tRNA) molecules are approximately 80 nucleotides in length. Their secondary structure includes four short double-helical elements and three loops (D, anti-codon, and T loops). Further hydrogen bonds mediate the characteristic L-shaped molecular structure. tRNAs have two regions of fundamental functional importance: the anti-codon, which is responsible for specific mRNA codon recognition, and the 3' end, to which the tRNAs corresponding amino acid is attached (by aminoacyl-tRNA synthetases). tRNAs cope with the degeneracy of the genetic code in two manners: having more than one tRNA (with a specific anti-codon) for a particular amino acid; and 'wobble' base-pairing, i.e. permitting non-standard base-pairing at the 3rd anti-codon position.
Source: Rfam by way of RNAcentral